RNAcentral lists this ribosomal RNA (433 nucleotides) under uncultured bacterium. RNAcentral's name for it is "partial 16S ribosomal RNA". It matches the Rfam family "Bacterial small subunit ribosomal RNA", at positions 28 to 507 of the family's 1533-position model. The record is from RNAcentral.
GACGAACGCUGGCGGCGUGCUUAACACAUGCAAGUCGAACGAGAACGCCCGGUCUUUUGGGGCACGGGUGCGGAACGCGGGGUAACCUACCCUUAGGUUCGCAAUAACUCACCGAAGGGGGACCUAAUACCGGAUAGGGUCUUCGCGCCAACGAUUUAUCGCCUUUGGAUGGGCCCGCGUUGGAUUCGCUAGUUGGUAGUGUAAAAGCCGACCAACGCGUCGAUCCAUAGCUGGUCUGAGAGCAUGAUCCGCCACGCUGGCAAUGAGACACGGCCCAGACUCCUACGGGAGGCAGAAGUAGAGAAUAUUGGACAAUGAGGGAAAGCCUACGACCGCAAUGCCGCGUAAGUGAUGAAGGCCGUAGUAUUGUACAGCUCUUUUACCCGGGAUGAUAAUGACAGUACCGGGUAAAUAAGCUCCGGCUAACUACGUG